This 478-nucleotide ribosomal RNA is filed under the name uncultured bacterium. RNAcentral describes it as "partial 16S ribosomal RNA". It matches the Rfam family "Bacterial small subunit ribosomal RNA", at positions 28 to 507 of the family's 1533-position model. The record is from RNAcentral.
GAUGAACGCUUUCUUCGUGCCUAACACAUGCAAGUCGAACGGAGUCCAGCCUUUAAGACCUUCGGGUCAAAGAGGGGAAGACUGAGUGGCGGACGGGUGAGUAACACGUGGGCAACCUGGCUCAUAGAGGGGGAUAACAGAGAGAAAUUUCUGCUAAUACCGCAUAAGCACACACUGCCGCAUGGCAGAGGGUGAAAAGAGAAUCGCUAUGAGAUGGACCCGCGUCUGAUUAGCCAGUUGGCAGGGUAAGAGCCUACCAAAGCGACGAUCGGUAGCCGAUCUGAGAGGAUGAACGGCCACAUUGGGACUGAGACACGGCCCAAACUCCUACGGGAGGCAGCAGUGGGGGAUAUUGCACAAUGGGGGGAACCCUGAUGCAGCGACGCCGCGUGAGUGAAGAAGUAUUUCGGUAUGUAAAGCUCUAUCAGCAGGGAAGAUAAUGACAGUACCUGAAGAAGAAGCCCCGGCUAACCACGUG